RNAcentral lists this unclassified non-coding RNA (3222 nucleotides) under Leishmania donovani. RNAcentral's name for it is "gene:LdHU3.33.0860(CDS-product:tRNA-splicing_liga se_RtcB_putative)". The record is from RNAcentral. Lineage: Eukaryota; Euglenozoa; Kinetoplastea; Trypanosomatida; Trypanosomatidae.
ACAUCCGGUUGCAUGCUCUCGCUCACUCAUAUUGCAGACACUGCGCCCUCAUUUACAGAGGUGCGUUCCUCCAUAUAUCCACAAGUGACGGGCAUGCGAUGAUGGGAAUGCUGUCGCUCUUCCUGCAUCGACGGCUCAUUGCCGAGGGAGAAGGCGCACGUCUUCUCCACCGGCUGUCUUUCUUUGCUUGCCGCAUGAAUGAAGGACGGCGCCAUCAUGCAGAUGUACCAUUAGCCGCUCGCGACGCACUCGAAGUCCCUUCGAAGUACGAGGUCAUCAGCGACCCUUCCAGUGCGGUCGAAGUUCGCGUUUGGCGCAGAGGUGUGGAGGUGGAGCGGACCGCGAACGAACAGCUACACCGCAUCUCUCGCAUGAGCCCGCACAUCAUUCCAGCACCUGUGGCUGUCAUGCCGGACGUGCACGCUGGGAUCGGGUGCACCGUCGGGUUGGUCUUGCCGACGGUGCGCGCGAUUAUACCAGCGUGUGUCGGUGUUGACAUUGGGUGCGGCAUGAUUGCGGUGCAGACCUCCCUCACUGCAGAGGAUCUUCCGAACUCAUUGGAAGACCUGCGACUGGCGAUUGAGCUGGGCGUGCCACACGGUCGCACCCACGGCGGUUAUAGCGGCGCAGACGCCGGCAGCUGGCGCAACAGUGUGCCGACGAACGUGCAGGAGGUGUGGAAGAAGCACCUCGCUGACGACUUUGAAGAGCUGUGCCGCCGGCACGCACAAGUUGCGAACACGAACAACCUCAACCAUCUCGGCACACUCGGCACAGGAAACCACUUUAUUGAGCUGUGCCUCGAUGACCAGCAGCCGCGGAGGCACGUAUGGGUGAUGCUACACUCCGGGUCGCGCGGUGUGGGCAACCGCAUUGGCUCCUUGUUCAUUGAGCUGGCCAAGAAGGACAUGGAGGCCCGCAUGCUUCACCUCCCUGAUGCCGACCUUGCCUACCUCGACGAAGGCACGGCGAACUUCAGCGACUACAUUUUUGCGGUGGAGUGGGCGCAGAGGUACGCGUGGUGGAAUCGACAGUUGAUGCUUGACGCCGUUCUGGUAGCCAUGCGAGGGUGCAUCGCAACUCCCUUCACAACAGUGCAAGCAGCCGUAAACUGCCACCACAACUACGUCGAGCGCAUUCGUAUUCCCAUUCGAGAGCAAGGACAUGAGGGCCAUGCGGCCAGCAAUCCACGCCAGGGGACGUUCCGCGAGCAAGAUGUGUGGCUUACUCGCAAGGGUGCUACUUCUGCGCGUAUGGGUGAGCUCGCCGUGAUUCCGGGGUCCAUGGGGGCCUGCAGCUACAUCGUGCGAGGCAAGGGAAGCGCCGCAAGCUACUGCUCCUGCUCGCACGGUGCCGGGCGCCGCUACAGCCGCGGCGAGGCGCGCCGGCGAUUCACUGUGUCAGAUCAUGAGGCUGCUACACUGGGCAUCGAGUGCCGCAAGGACAGCAGCGUGUUGGACGAGACACCUGCCGCUUACAAGAACAUCGAUGCUGUCAUGGCUGCUCAGGACGACCUCGUCGAGGUCGUCACGAUAUUGCGGCAAGUGCUUUGUGUGAAAGGGUGAGGAAUGUCGUGCGUCACCAACCUCCCUUCUCUGCCGCCUCCUCAUCGAGACACAUGCACUCCUUACUGCACGAACAAAAAGAUGUGCCACGUCUGCGCGCCGUCGGUCGUUUUCCAGCAGCUGCCUUAUGUUGACUCCCCUUCUUUCGCACUCCCUCAUGAAGACGGUGCGUGUGCGUGUGUGUGUGUGGGCACGCCUCUCGGUGCGUGGCAGCUCAGGGCCCAGUACACACGCCGACUCUCUCUGGGUGGAGGCGAAGCCGCCCGCCGCUCUCUAUCCCUGCCAAAUGCGGAGCCACCUCUGGUGGUGACAGGGUGAGGCGCCUACGACCUGGGGCGAGGUGAGAGCGAUGUGUCGCUGCUGGUGUCGGAUAGCAGGUCCUGGACGGCGUUGCGUCUGAGCGACCUGCGACCGUGGGCACACGUGUGCCAUCCACAUGAUGGGCAGAGUGUCCGCGUCGCUGGAACGCACCCCACCACCCGACCCUCGCACUGCCCGCUGGUGUGGGGAGCCCGAGGCCCCUCCGAGGGGGCUGCAUCACGUGGCGACCGGCAUGAUGUGGGAGCGGCUGUGAGGCGACCUGCGCGAUGCGGCGGUGGUGGUGGUCGGGGCUUGAGGCGGAGGCGGUGCUGAGAUGACUGGGCCGACGCAUUGCUGUACCGCGUGCGCGCACCGCUGCUUCGCAGGGCGGGAUGGGGCCUGCGGCAUGCCGGGGUGGGGUGGCGCUGGAGCUCGUGCUGGACGGCAGAGGGCGGGCACCCGCUGGGAAGGAAAACGAAAAAUUCAUUUCCCUCUUUACCUCGUCGGCGCUCAUGUCGUCCCACACACGCCCGCUAACUGGCGCCAUUCGUCACACACACUUUUGUUUUCCGCUAUGUUGCAUGCCUGGGCGAAGGAGGGCGAGAGGUGCGCGUUAGGCGCGCGGCCCCGAUUCGAUGACAGGACGGUGUGUCCUAGACGUCGAGGAUGUAGCCGUGCUGCCGCUGGUGCGGGUGAGCGGCGGCUGCGCAUGCGUAUGUUUGCGGAACUGCUGCGGGUGUGGAAUGGGCGCAUCGAGAAAAAGGGAAAACCUCACGUACCGGGCGACAACUGCACCGACACACCGACGCGUGUGGUCCAUCCUCUUCCUUCUGUGGGCGGCCGCUCGUUGCAUCGGCUUACAAAUUUACGUGCGCUGCACGACUGGAGCGGGGCUCUCGCUCGCUCUCAUCAUGUCUUCACCUUCUCCCAAAAUACGAACGCACGAGGCGGCUGGUGCGACACCGUGGGGAAUGUCCAACGCCGCCUGCACUUGACUCAGUCAACUACCCUCCCCAUCCCGCCACUGCACCGGCGCCACCACAUGGAAAAGUUCACAUACAAGCAGAAGCUUAGGUACCCUGUGUGCUUUACUUUUAGAUGCCAGACGCCACGCAUCAGCGCCGCUGCCGCUCUACGCCGGCGGUUGCGACGGUUCACAGCUCCGAAGAUUUCCGCAGCAGGAGGCGGCCUACGCGGCAUUGAUUUUGAUGGCUUGCGCUGGGAUUUCUCCACAUCUGUGCAUCUCUUUGUGCCCGUGCACCUCUGUCUCUUCCUCUCCUCGUGUUCUCUCUCUGAGUCUCUUCUCUUCUGAUGGCACACACGCACAUACGUGCACCAUGUGCUCGCGCAUACUCAG